RNAcentral lists this ribosomal RNA (271 nucleotides) under uncultured bacterium. RNAcentral describes it as "partial 16S ribosomal RNA". It matches the Rfam family "Bacterial small subunit ribosomal RNA", at positions 505 to 776 of the family's 1533-position model. The record is from RNAcentral.
GUGCCAGCGCCGCGGUAAUACGUAGGGGGCGAGCGUUACCCGGAAUCACUGGGCGUAAAGGGAGCGUAGGUGGCCUAACAUGUCAACUGUGAAAACCCGGAGCUCAACUCCGGACUUGCAGUUGAAACUGGUAGGCUUGAGGACGGUAGAGGAAGACGGAACUGCCAGUGUAGGGGUAAAAUCCUUAGAUAUUGGCAGGAACGCCGGUGACGAAGGUGGUUUUCUGGGCCGGUUCUGACACUGAUGCUCGAAAGCCAGGGGAGCGAACGGG